GAUGAACGCUGGCGGCGUGCCUAAUACAUGCAAGUCGAGCGAACGGACGAGAAGCUUGCUUCUCUGAUGUUAGCGGCGGACGGGUGAGUAACACGUGGAUAACCUACCUAUAAGACUGGGAUAACUUCGGGAAACCGUAGCUAAUACCGGAUAAUAUUUUGAACCGCAUGGUUCAAAAGUGAAAGACGGUCUUGCUGUCACUUAUAGAUGGAUCCGCGCUGCAUUAGCUAGUUGGUAAGGUAACGGCUUACCAAGGCAACGAUGCAUAGCCGACCUGAGAGGGUGAUCGGCCACACUGGAACUGAGACACGGUCCAGACUCCUACGGGAGGCAGCAGUAGGGAAUCUUCCGCAAUGGGCGAAAGCCUGACGGAGCAACGCCGCGUGAGUGAUGAAGGUCUUCGGAUCGUAAAACUCUGUUAUUAGGGAAGAACAUAUGUGUAAGUAACUGUGCACAUCUUGACGGUACCUAAUCAGAAAGCCACGGCUAACUACGUGCCAGCAGCCGCGGUAAUACGUAGGUGGCAAGCGUUAUCCGGAAUUAUUGGGCGUAAAGCGCGCGUAGGCGGUUUUUUAAGUCUGAUGUGAAAGCCCACGGCUCAACCGUGGAGGGUCAUUGGAAACUGGAAAACUUGAGUGCAGAAGAGGAAAGUGGAAUUCCAUGUGUAGCGGUGAAAUGCGCAGAGAUAUGGAGGAACACCAGUGGCGAAGGCGGCUUUCUGGUCUGUAACUGACGCUGAUGUGCGAAAGCGUGGGGAUCAAACAGGAUUAGAUACCCUGGUAGUCCACGCCGUAAACGAUGAGUGCUAAGUGUUAGGGGGUUUCCGCCCCUUAGUGCUGCAGCUAACGCAUUAAGCACUCCGCCUGGGGGGUACGACCGCAAGGUUGAAACUCAAAGGAAUUGACGGGGACCCGCACAAGCGGUGGAGCAUGUGGUUUAAUUCGAAGCAACGCGAAGAACCUUACCAAAUCUUGACAUCCUUUGACAACUCUAGAGAUAGAGCCUUCCCCUUCGGGGGACAAAGUGACAGGUGGUGCAUGGUUGUCGUCAGCUCGUGUCGUGAGAUGUUGGGUUAAGUCCCGCAACGAGCGCAACCCUUAAGCUUAGUUGCCAUCAUUAAGUUGGGCACUCUAAGUUGACUGCCGGUGACAAACCGGAGGAAGGUGGGGAUGACGUCAAAUCAUCAUGCCCCUUAUGAUUUGGGCUACACACGUGCUACAAUGGACAAUACAAAGGGCAGCGAAACCGCGAGGUCAAGCAAAUCCCAUAAAGUUGUUCUCAGUUCGGAUUGUAGUCUGCAACUCGACUACAUGAAGCUGGAAUCGCUAGUAAUCGUAGAUCAGCAUGCUACGGUGAAUACGUUCCCGGGUCU
This 1372-nucleotide ribosomal RNA is filed under the name uncultured bacterium. RNAcentral's name for it is "bacterial SSU rRNA". It matches the Rfam family "Bacterial small subunit ribosomal RNA", at positions 28 to 1381 of the family's 1533-position model. The record is from RNAcentral.